Molecule: ribosomal RNA, 381 nt
Filed under: uncultured bacterium
Lineage: Bacteria
Description: bacterial SSU rRNA
Rfam family: Bacterial small subunit ribosomal RNA
Source: RNAcentral
AGCGAACGUUUGCGGCGGGCCUAACACAUGCAAGUCGAACGCACUAGCAAUAGUGAGUGGCGCACGGGUGCGUAACACGUGGGUAAUCAACCCUUCAGCCUGAGAUAACGACUCGAAAGGGUCGCUAAUACCGGAUACGGCGCGAGAGGCUUCGGCUUCUCACGAGAAAGCCACGCAAGGGGCACUGAAGGACGAGCCUGCGGCCCAUCAGCUAGUUGGUGAGGUAAGAGCUCACCAAGGCUAAGACGGGUAGCUGGUCUGAGAGGAUGAUCAGCCACACUGGAACUGAGACACGGUCCAGACUCCUACGGGAGGCAGCAGUGGGGAAUAUUGCGCAAUGGGCGAAAGCCUGACGCAGCCACGCCGCGUGAGCGAUGAAGG